GCGCCCGUAGCUCAGCUGGAUAGAGCAACGGUUUUCUAAACCGUUGGCCGCGUGUUCGAAUCACGCCGGGGACACCA
This 77-nucleotide transfer RNA is filed under the name Candidatus Omnitrophica bacterium CG1_02_49_16. Its description in RNAcentral is "tRNA-Arg". It matches the Rfam family "tRNA". From Rfam's summary of the family: Transfer RNA (tRNA) molecules are approximately 80 nucleotides in length. The record is from RNAcentral. Lineage: Bacteria; Pseudomonadati; Candidatus Omnitrophota.